UGCCCCUCGCCGGGUAGGGACCCCCGAAGGCUCCCGGGGGCCGGCCCGCCUCAACUCACGCACGCGACGUCCGCACGGGUCCGUGCCUCACGCCGGCGCUGGGACCUCGACGCUUCGAUCUCUGUGCGCACGGGAUGCGGUGACUGUGGGCGCGGAGGGGGGGACCCAAGGGGCUCAGAUGCCCAGACAUUCCCCCCACCGAGCUGAUGGCCCAUUCCUCCCCGCAGCUCUAAAAUGGUGUGUGUGUCCAAAACACACGUAACACGAAUAUCUGUGCAACUGCUGCAGGGUUGCUGGGAAGCUACUGGAAGUUUUGUCAGGAGGGAAAUGAUCUGAAUCCCGGGUUUAGGUGUUCGGAUGCCCACUCGGGGGCAGUAUGGAGGAAUGGCCUGCCCCUGGCCCAGGGAUGGAGCUGUGUUACAAGAUGUCUCAAUACAAUAUGGAGGGC
Molecule: long non-coding RNA, 448 nt
Organism: Ailuropoda melanoleuca (giant panda)
Lineage: Eukaryota; Metazoa; Chordata; Mammalia; Carnivora; Ursidae
Exons: 3
Source: RefSeq, a predicted model, not a curated record